AAGUCGUACAGGUCUCCGUAGGUGAANCUGCGGAGGGAUCAUUACACAAAUAUGAAGGCGGGCUGGAACCUCUCGGGGUUACAGCCUUGCUGAAUUAUUCACCCUUGUCUUUUGCGUACUUCUUGUUUCCUUGGUGGGUUCGCCCACCACUAGGACAAACAUAAACCUUUUGUAAUUGCAAUCAGCGUCAGUAACAAAUUAAUAAUUACAACUUUCAACAACGGAUCUCUUGGUUCUGGCAUCGAUGAAGAACGCAGCGAAAUGCGAUAAGUAGUGUGAAUUGCAGAAUUCAGUGAAUCAUCGAAUCUUUGAACGCACAUUGCGCCCUUUGGUAUUCCAAAGGGCAUGCCUGUUCAAGCGUCAUUUGUACCCUCAAGCUUUGCUUGGUGUUGGGCGUCUUGUCUCUAGCUUUGCUGGAGACUCGCCUUAAAGUAAUUGGCAGCCGGCCUACUGGUUUCGGAGCGCAGCACAAGUCGCACUCUCUAUCAGCAAAGGUCUAGCAUCCAUUAAGCCUUUUUUUCAACUUUUGACCUCGGAUCAGGUAGGGAUACCCGCUGAACUUAAGCAUAUC
Molecule: ribosomal RNA, 571 nt
Filed under: uncultured fungus
Lineage: Eukaryota; Fungi
Description: eukaryotic LSU rRNA
Rfam family: 5.8S ribosomal RNA (bases 210-363)
Source: RNAcentral